UUUCCAGACUCCUACGGGAGGCAGCAGUGAGGAAUAUUGGUCAAUGGGCGGGAGCCUGAACCAGCCAUGCCGCGUGAAGGCGAGUGCCCUACGGGCGUUAAACUUCUUUUGUGCGGGAGCAAUAAGGGCCACGCGUGGCCCGAUGAGAGUACCGCACGAAUAAGCAUCGGCUAACUCCGUGCCAGCAGCCGCGGUAAUACGGGGGAUGCGAGCGUUAUCCGGAUUUAUUGGGUUUAAAGGGUGCGUAGGCGGCGCUUCAGGUCAGCGGUGAAAUACCGGGGCUCAACCCCGGGGCUGCCGUUGAAACUGGCAGUCUCGAGUUGGAGAGAAGUAUGCGGAAUGCGCGGUGUAGCGGUGAAAUGCAUAGAUAUCGCGCAGAACUCCGAUUGCGAAGGCAGCAUGCCGGCUCCACACUGACGCUGAGGCACGAAAGCGUGGGUAUCGAACAGGAUUAGAUACCCGGGUACC
RNAcentral lists this ribosomal RNA (468 nucleotides) under uncultured bacterium. RNAcentral describes it as "bacterial SSU rRNA". It matches the Rfam family "Bacterial small subunit ribosomal RNA", at positions 328 to 796 of the family's 1533-position model. The record is from RNAcentral.